This 381-nucleotide long non-coding RNA is filed under the name Hordeum vulgare. RNAcentral describes it as "long non-coding RNA (HVUL_LNC015339)". Lineage: Eukaryota; Viridiplantae; Streptophyta; Magnoliopsida; Poales; Poaceae. The record is from RNAcentral.
AGAAGAAGAUGCCGCCGACCAGUACAGGAGAAAGACGACAUCGGCAAGCACCCUUCAUGUAUAAGCUAGCAAGGCAGAGAGGAGCGUUGUCGGGAGCAGGGGUGGCCUCGGGGUCGAUGGGACGGGGCGGUGGCAACGGCGUCGGAAGCAAUGCAGCUCAAUGGCUAUGGACGGACGGAGGAAUCCUAGAGUGUCCAGAUUUGGCUGCUCCAAGCUGUCCACGAACUCCUCCCUUGAAAACCAGAGCAGAGUAAGCAGCGGCGGCGAGUAAUCGGGGAAUCCAUCGAAUCUCAAAAAUCCAGACGGGAGAUCUGGUGAGGGGAAGGGAAGGAUGGAGGUUGGCGGCGGGAGAGCCUGGAGGGUCACGGGAGACAAGGGCGG